UUGGUUUGUUACCGGUGGUUGACCCAAUUGCUUGUGUGACAACAUCCACCUGACAUGCCCGUUCGUUAAGGUUUCGAUUACCUGAACCAAUUUUGGGUUUCUUGUGUUGCCUACCUAACAUACGGUAUUGAUUUUGCUUAUCUACGUCCCGUUUGUCUUUCGUCAUGCUAGAGAAGUUAGAUGAACCGUAAACCUGUCUCUUUGAGCCACACCAUUGAUUUUUGUGUUGAUGUAGUGGUGCAUGGAGCCUUGCUUGGUCUCUUUGAUGUAGUGUUURAUGUGGCAUGGGUCUCAUGGGAUCCUUGCUAUGUCCCUGUUUACGCUCCGUAAAAUGACUGCUUGACACGCGUUGGCUCGAAAAAGCGUGUUAGGCUUUGUCUAAGAGGAAUGUUACCUGGU
This 399-nucleotide unclassified non-coding RNA is filed under the name Trichogoniopsis morii. RNAcentral's name for it is "partial contains external transcribed spacer and 18S ribosomal RNA". Lineage: Eukaryota; Viridiplantae; Streptophyta; Magnoliopsida; Asterales; Asteraceae. The record is from RNAcentral.